GCGAGCGCCCGGGUGACCUGUACUGGCCGGGCGCGGUUUGCGGACGCUCUCCACUGCCGGCCGCGGCCUGGCAGGCGGCGUGUCGUCAUCUCUUUCGUCACCUUCGUCAUUCUGCUCCUGCGUUCGCAGGGUCCCGGGACACCCGGCCAGGAGGCGCCCCCUAGGCAUCCCAGCGUAAACAAUUGCUUUUAAAACUUCAUUAGGUUUUUGUGUGAACAUAAACUUUCGAUUCAUUUGGAUAAACACCAGGGAACACAAUUGCAAGAUCAUGUGGGCUGGAAGACAGAGAUCCACCAGGCUCUCAAUUGAAAGCCCUGGAGGGCUACACCCUAAGAACAGAAGUGAAUCGGAGGUACACUUAGCAAAACUGAAACCAGCUUCUGAUUCAGAAUAAUCUCUGACUCGAUUGAGGUGAUCAAAGGCUAUUCUACCUGCCCAACAGAAGAAAAAGGGAACACUUUCGGUGGAAGGCAAUAUCAUCUGGACCCUUUAUGGUUUUAUUAUACAUAAUGUCUAACAUUUUUUAAAUUACUAGAUGUGGAAGAUCAAGUUCAUUUGCCCAAUAAUCAAGAGAAAAAAACACACACAAUAGAAACACAAUUAUAGAUGAUCAAGAUAUUGUAAUCAGCAAAUGAGAAUUUACAAAUAAUUUUUAUGAAUAUGUUUAAGAAAAUAAAGUGCAAAAUUGAUGAGGAAAUGGACAAUUUUCAGUAAAACUAACCUAUAAAAAAGAUUUCUUUAGGCAUUCUAAAUUUGAAAAAAUAUACUAUCGUCAGUUAAGAAAUCAAUAUAUGGAGAAAACUGCAGUGGAAAGGAUCAGUAGAGAUAGCAGUGUGUCCAACAGCCAAGAAAGUAGGGUGGCGGGCAUACAGAUAGUGAUGUGCAUAGGGGCAAAAGAAGUCAUAAUGGGAAAGCCAUGUGGAGGCAGCAGAGUGCCUGGUGUCCAAGGAAGCAUGUAUAGGGGGUACAUAUGGUGGCAGUUGUAUGCUCAGCAGAAGAAGCACCAGGGAGGUGAAGGUAAGAGUAAGUUGGGGUGCACAGUUAACAAUGUGUCUAACAGCCAGAAGGUGGAGACAGGGGCAUGGAGGCAGUGGCAUAUCAAACAGACCAGGGUUUGGUGGGGAGAAGAGUUCAAAAGUGACAACUUGCCUGGAGAUGAAAUCAGGAGUGAUGAGUUGGCCAUGGCAGUACCUAGCAUUUUUAGGAAAUUAAUUAUGUAAAGGAGGAUUGAUCAAGAAAGUAUCUAUAUUGAAGCUAAUGGAAGCUGGAUUUCUCUCUGUGGGAAAACAAAUUUACAAAUAUGAAAAGGGGAAGCGAAAAAAAUAACUCAUUGCUAUUGUUAUGGUAAGAAGGAAGAAGGAAGGAAGGAAAGAGCAAAAGGAAGGAAAGAAGGAAAGAGUGAAAGGGAAGGGAGGAAAGAAACAAAAAAAAUUAUCAAUGCAAGUGAAUAUGUCUGUGUACAUAUCCAUGAAUACAUACAUAUAUUUCAAAAUUCUGACCAUGGAGAGGACCUAGGUGCAAUGACACCCCAGUAGCAAUUAAUAACAAGUAUGUAGGUUCCAAUUUCCAUAACAAACAACAAGGACUCCUUGUAAAAGUGGAUGAUUCAAGGAUGGAGGUAGAGAAAUUUCAAGAUAAGCCUGGAACGUUGGAUAAUAAUGAACUGUGGUUUGAAUGCUGGUAUUUAUCGCUGUCCAUUUUCUGAUUUGAAAGGCUUGGCAAUUACUCUGUAGGAGAGUGUCUUUGGGAGAAGUAGUAAUAGGAAUAUUUACAGAUGAUAGGACAUAAAGGUUUCAACUUGCUUAACUUGCUCUCAAAAUAUUCAAAAAAGGUAUCAUAUCCUUGAAAAUACACAUCUAUCUAUCUAUCUAUCUAUCUAUCUAUCUAUCUAUCUAUCUAUCAUCUUUACAAAAAGAGAUGGAGAAAAUAUGAAACUAUUAACUGAGGAAUCUGGAUGAAGAGAAUGUGGGAGUUCAUUCUACUGUUCUUGCAACUUUUCUGAUAAAAAUAUUUCAAAGUAAAUUAUUUCAAAAUUAAAUUUAAAAACUCAAUAUAUGAGUUUAACAAUAGGUUGGACACUAUUGAAUACAAGACUUGUGAACUGGAAACAUAUCAAUGAAAAAUAUACAAAGUGAAGCAUGGAAGAAAAAAAGAAAGAGAAAAAAUAAGAAACAAAUGUAAGAGACAUACAGGACAAGUAUGAAAGGUCUACCAUGUAAAACUGAAGUUUCAGAGGGCAAGGAGAAAGAAAUAGAGCAGAAGCAAUAUUCAAAGGGAUAAUGGUUGGGAAUUUUCUAAAGCAGAUAAAAUACAUUUAACCCACUGGUUAAGAAGCUCAGCAAACCCUCAAGCAGGAUAAGUAUAGAGAAAACCACAAUUAUGCAACUCACAAUAAAACUGCUGAACCAAAGACAGAGAAGAUGGAAAAACCAGCCAGAAGAAAAAAGACACAUUAUCUACAAAAGAGCAACAAUGAGACUGGCAGCUGUCUCUAAUAGCAACAAUAGAAGCCAGAAGAUAAUGGAAUGCUAUCUCUAGAGUACUGAAAGAAACUAAAGGCCAACGUGUGAAAAACAAUCUUCAGAAAUGAACGUUAAAUGAUGACAUUUUCAAACAAACAAGCAACAAAAAGAAGCAAAAAGUAAACAAAAAACAAAAAUUCACAUAAUUUAUUGCUAGGAGUUUUACACUGAAAUGCUGAAGGGAUUUCUACUAGCAAAAGUAAAAAUGAUCUCAUUUGAAAAGAUGGAAAUUCAAGGAGGGAAUGAAGAAUACUGGAUGGGUAAAUGUGUUGGUAACUGUAAAUGAAUACUGACUACACAAAAUUAUGUUGAAUAACUGAAAGAUGAAAACACAAUCACUUGAAGGAGAAAUGUAUGGUCAAACUGCAUGCAGGAAAAACUUCUAUAAAAGAGUUACUUCAUGCUCUGGGUUGGCAGAUACAAUGAGCAGGAGUGCAUCAGAAGUAAUCAAGAAGGUGAUUAGUUGGUGUACUUCAGCAGGAGCAACCAGAUGAAUUGGCUUCUCUAUAUCCCCGUAUUAGCCACAAGCUAGGCAGCAGCCUGCAGGUGGGAGCAAUGCCUAUGCAUGUAUGGAUCAGUGUGCUACAUACAGUCACGUUGACAGCAUGAACCUUCGAUGUGAUGUGAGGAAAAUGGCAUUCUACCUCUGUGUUCUUCCUCCCCAAAAUUUGUAACCACCAUCUAAUCAUGAGGAAAACAUCAUACAAGUCCAAAUUGAGGAAGAUUCUACAAAAUGCCUGAUUAAUAUUCAUCGAAACUGUCAAGGUCAUCAAAAGCAAGGAAAGUCUGAGAAACUGCCACAGCCUAAAGACAAUCCAGGGAAACGUGAUGACUCAGUGGUAUUCGGGGUGGGUUUCUGGAACAGCAAAAGGACAACAGGCACUGGACUUCAUUACUUCCUUACUGCAACCUGGCGCUUAAAGUGCUAUCAUCACAAGGAUGAAGAAACAGUUCAGAAAGGCUGAUUGAGAUGGCUAUGGUCAUGCCUUAUACCACUGGCAGGUGUAAGCAGUAACUCCAGACCCUGAGUGCUUCUCCAUUGUAGCCCUGUGUCUUUUUUUCAGGCAUGGGUAACAUUUCAAGGCAAAAAGUGAUGAGUACUAAGACUCCUC
Molecule: long non-coding RNA, 3634 nt
Filed under: Homo sapiens (human)
Lineage: Eukaryota; Metazoa; Chordata; Mammalia; Primates; Hominidae
Description: non-protein coding LINC01277:15
Source: RNAcentral